AGUGAACGCUGGCGGUAGACCUAACACAUGCAAGUCGAACGGCAGCACAGUAAGAGCUUGCUCUUACGGGUGGCGAGUGGCGGACGGGUGAGGAAUACAUCGGAAUCUACUUUUUCGUGGGGGAUAACGUAGGGAAACUUACGCUAAUACCGCAUACGACCUACGGGUGAAAGCAGGGGAUCUUCGGACCUUGCGCGAUUGAAUGAGCCGAUGUCGGAUUAGCUAGUUGGCGGGGUAAAGGCCCACCAAGGCGACGAUCCGUAGCUGGUAUGAGAGGAUGAUCAGCCACACUGGAACUGAGACACGGUCCAGACUCCUACGGGAGGCAGCAGUGGGGAAUAUUGGACAAUGGGCGCAAGCCUGAUCCAGCCAUACCGCGUGGGUGAAGAAGGCCUUCGGGUUGUAAAGCCCUUUUGUUGGGAAAGAAAAGCAGCAGGUUAAUACCCCGCUGCUCUGACGGUACCCAAAGAAUAAGCACCGGCUAACUUCGUG
RNAcentral lists this ribosomal RNA (492 nucleotides) under uncultured bacterium. Its description in RNAcentral is "partial 16S ribosomal RNA". It matches the Rfam family "Bacterial small subunit ribosomal RNA", at positions 29 to 507 of the family's 1533-position model. The record is from RNAcentral.